Molecule: long non-coding RNA, 278 nt
Organism: Symsagittifera roscoffensis
Lineage: Eukaryota; Metazoa; Xenacoelomorpha; Acoela; Convolutidae
Exons: 3
Source: RefSeq, a predicted model, not a curated record
CAGCCCAGUGAGCAGGCGAAGAGUGCGACUGCGUCUGCACGCACUGAACAGCUGAGCAAGGCGAAGAGACGCAACGCGCUGUGUCAGAAGCAAAACUGUGCAGCUGCACUGCCUCAGUCAUAUUACUUGAUGCCACGCCCCCUCUGAGCGCCACUCAUAUCCCAGCAAGGACGAAGACUACGAUGGUCACAAAGUGUCCUCAGCAGCAAAAAAUGCGAAAGCUACUAUGCGACUAGUUGAGCUGUCCACGCCCAAAAGAAUCACCAAGAAAAAACUCG